Prolemur simus (greater bamboo lemur) is the source of this 107-nucleotide small nuclear RNA. Lineage: Eukaryota; Metazoa; Chordata; Mammalia; Primates; Lemuridae. The record is from Ensembl.
GUGCUUGAUUCGGCAGCACAUAAGCUAAAACUGGAAUGAUACAGAGAAGAUUAGCAUGGCCCCUAGGCAAGAAUGACAUGCAAAUUCAUGAAACAUUCCAUAUAAAA